UACAAGCCUCAGCAAGGUGAAACCGCGAAUGGCUCAUUAAAUCACACCUAAUGUACGGGAUGUUCUCAGUUACUUGGAUAACUGCGGUAAUUCUGGAGCUAAUACAUGCGCACAAGCCCCGACUGUUGAGGGAGGGGCGCUUUUAUUAGAUCAAGACCAAACGGCCUCUCGGGGCCGUAUCUCUGGUGACUCUGAAUAACUUUUCGCUGAUCGCACGGCUUCACGCCGGCGACGCGUCCUUCCAAGGUGUGCCCUAUCAAUUGUCGACUGUGGCAUAGACGCCCACAGUGAUUUUGACGGGUAACGGGGAAUUAGGGUUCGAUUCCGGAGAGGGAGCCUGAGAGACGGCUACCACUUCUAAGGAAGGCAGCAGGCACGCAAAUUACCCACUGGCCGAAGGCCGAGGUAGUGACGAAAAAUAACGAUACCGGACUCAUCCGAGGCCCGGUAAUCGGAAUGAGUACACUUUAAAUCCUUUAACGAGGAACCAUUGGAGGGCAAGUCUGGUGCCAGCAGCCGCGGUAAUUCCAGCUCCAAUAGCGUAUAUUAAAGUUGUUGCGGUUAAAAAGCUCGUAGUUGGAUCUCGGCAGGCAAGGGGCGGUGCGCUGUUAGCGGCACUGCCCCGUUUGCCCGUGUUGUGUGGCGGAGGUUCCGGGGUGCCCUUUGUUGAGUGUCCCGGGGCGCCGUCAGGUUUACUUUGAAAAAAUUAGAGUGCUCAAAGCAGGCUUUACCGGCUUGAAUAUUCGUGCAUGGAAUAAUGGAAUAGGACGUCGUUCCUAUUUUGUUGGUUUUCGGGAAUCGACGUAAUGAUU
This 812-nucleotide ribosomal RNA is filed under the name uncultured marine eukaryote. RNAcentral describes it as "SSU rRNA". It matches the Rfam family "Eukaryotic small subunit ribosomal RNA", at positions 64 to 870 of the family's 1831-position model. The record is from RNAcentral.